UGGGGAAUAUUGGACAAUGGGCGGAAGCCUGAUCCAGCCAUGCCGCGUGUGUGAAGAAGGCCUUUUGGUUGUAAAGCACUUUAAGCGAGGAGGAGGCUACUUGGAUUAAUACUCUAGGAUAGUGGACGUUACUCGCAGAAUAAGCACCGGCUAACUCUGUGCCAGCAGCCGCGGUAAUACAGAGGGUGCGAGCGUUAAUCGGAUUUAUUGGGCGUAAAGCGUGCGUAGGCGGCUUCUUAAGUCGGAUGUGAAAUCCCUGAGCUUAACUUAGGAAUUGCAUUCGAUACUGAGAAGCUAGAGUAUGGGAGGGGAUAGAAGAAUUCCAGGUGUAGCGGUGAAAUGCGUAGAGAUCUGGAGGAAUACCGAUGGAAAAGGCAGCCAUCUGGCCUAAUACUGACGCUGAGGUACGAAAGCAUGGGGAGCAAACAGG
Molecule: ribosomal RNA, 430 nt
Filed under: Actinomycetes bacterium
Lineage: Bacteria; Bacillati; Actinomycetota; Actinomycetes
Description: Actinobacteria bacterium partial 16S ribosomal RNA
Rfam family: Bacterial small subunit ribosomal RNA
Source: RNAcentral